This 219-nucleotide long non-coding RNA is filed under the name Capsicum annuum. RNAcentral's name for it is "long non-coding RNA (CANN_LNC012494)". The record is from RNAcentral. Lineage: Eukaryota; Viridiplantae; Streptophyta; Magnoliopsida; Solanales; Solanaceae.
AUAUAAACAUAACAGAUGCACCAGAAUACAUAGAAAGAACACUAAUAGGAACAGUGAAAUUAUGGUUUUCAAAUUUAACUAAAAAUAGCAAGAAGAUAUUAAGAACUAAUAAACCUACAGAAGGAACAUCAUCAACAACAACUAAACUAACACCUAUAGAAUUAUUAAAAAAAUAUGAAACAGCUAUAAAAGAUGAAUUUGGUAGUAUGACAACAAUAG